RNAcentral lists this ribosomal RNA (463 nucleotides) under uncultured bacterium. RNAcentral's name for it is "partial 16S ribosomal RNA". It matches the Rfam family "Bacterial small subunit ribosomal RNA", at positions 28 to 507 of the family's 1533-position model. The record is from RNAcentral.
GACGAACGCUGGCGGCGUGCUUAACACAUGCAAGUCGAACGGAGAGACUCUUCUGAUGGGACUAGCUGACGUUGGGUGCGGACGAGUUAGGCACACGUCCCCAGCCUAUGGGUUAGCUACAAGUAAUUGCGGCUAAUACUGGAUGCUCACAGAUACUCGUACGGGUGGUGGUGAGAAGGAGUGGCGGUUGGGGAUGGGCUCGCGUCUCAUCAGAUUGGUGGUGGGGUAGUGGCUUACCAAGGCUACGACGGGUCGCCGGCCUGAGAGGGUGACCGGCCACACUGGGACUGAGACACGGCCCAGACUCCUACGGGAGGCAGCAGUGGGGAAUAUUGCGCAAUGGGCGGAAGCCUGACGCAGCGACGCCGCGUGCGGGAUGACGGCCUUCGGGUUGUAAACCGCUUUCUGCAGGGACGAAGCGAAAGUGACGGUACCUGCACAAGAAGCACCGGCUAACUACGUG